This is a long non-coding RNA of Gallus gallus (chicken), 8544 nucleotides long. RefSeq lists it as uncharacterized. The record is from RefSeq and is a predicted model, not a curated record. The transcript has 2 exons. NCBI's taxonomy places the organism in Eukaryota, Metazoa, Chordata, Aves, Galliformes, Phasianidae.
UUAAGGAAAAAUAACUUUGUUUGAAGUCACUAAGAACAGUCAGUCUCAAAAACAACAAUUUACAUUUGGAAGAGGAAAAAAAAAAUAAGAUGAUUGAUUUUCCAGUGAUUAAAGUUGAAUAUUUGGAAGGAAAACUGAACAGAUUGAGUCUAUGAACUGUUAUGAAUGUAGUUUUUGUGAAAGUUUAUCAUUUAUUAUUACUGUGCAAUUACAAUCUCAUAUUUCUAUACCAACUACAAUUUAACAUCAGUGUAGAUGAAUUGCUAAUAUUUGGCUUCCUCUGAACAGAAAAUGCCAAACAGCUGAGCUGAAUUAUAUUAUCAAGCAAUGUACAAGUUUUUAGCUUUUCUGCCUAUAUUUGCAUCUUGGGAUGGUAUCUUGAAAGGGCACCCCCUUACUACUAUAUUUUUCCUAGAUAAACCUUUUAUUUAAAUUGAAGAUGUCUCUUCUUAACUUACAUAAUUAAGAGCAGUGAAGUCCUUUGGGUUCUUAGUAGAUGGAAUCUAAACACUGAAAUUCUCUCAUUCACACUACUGUAUAGAUCUUUAAUUUGAAGAGUACAAAAUCAUUUUUAUAUUUUCGGCUGUGGUUUCAGAUAAAUAUUCUGAUAUCUUAAAAAAAUGAGAGGAGAAAUUUACAUAUAGCCUCUGGAUUCUGGUGUAAAGUUUUGCACCCAUAGACCUACAUACUUCUUUGCACUGAUACAAUGGAUCUCUGCCCAAAUUCUAGUACUUUUUUUUCUUUCUUUUUUUUUUAGGGUUUCCCGUAGAUUUUAAUAGAAGCUUGUGCUAGGAAACAGGUCAAGAAGAAGGACUAGCCAUCAAACCAUAUUUUUAACAUAGCUACUGCAGUUCCCCACAGAGAACAUUUUUGUCAUUGUUCCUCAGACAUGAACUUGUUGGAUCUGACUGUGCUUUCAUCUUUCUAGUGCUAUCCAGAAGUAACUCGAGUGGAAGUACACAAAAUACAGGGAUGCGAGAGUGGUAUAAGGGAGAUUUAAAAUGGACUUGUGAAAGAAUUUCUCCUGCCUUGCCAUAUGGAUAUUGAUUUCUCUCCCUCAGGCAGAAUAUAAUUGCCUGCUCUAAUUUAGCAUUGAUCUACCCACCCAAGUUUCUUAAAGUACUACACAGGCCUCAAUUAAAUUAUUCCUAAUACCACCUUUGUGAAGUAGGAUAGCUGUAAUUACUCACACUUAGAAAAUGGUGAGAGGUAAAAAGCGAUUUGUCCAAACCAUGCAGUGCAACAAGACACGAUUAAAGCAGGAGGCAAACAUACUAUGCCAUGUGCUGUACAUCAAAUUACCCUGAGUUUUUCUAAUAGCAAAAUAUUUGUUCAUCCAAUAUUUUGUGAUUCCAAUGAACCACACUUGGUUAGAUACUAAGUGUACCAGGACUUCUGUUGUUCUUAUCAAUACAUCUAUUUUCUCCUUCAUGAGACCUCUAGAGAUCAUUGAGUCCAGCCCCCUGCAAAGCGGGCCCCCUACAAAGGAAUAACACCUCUUGCUGCUGAAUUCAACAAAUGUGGUCUCGCCACUAUUUUUAAGUGUCAUUUUAUUUAUUAGUUCAAGAGAAACCAGCCAGACUGAUACUGAGGAGAAACAAGUACAAAGUAUUUUGUAUACACACCCAAUAGAUCAGAAAAAAUGCAGGUUUUAGCAACUGAAGGAGCCCAACGCUAAGGCAACACAAGUUAGGUAAUACUUUGAAUCAGAUAAAAAUGAUAAAGUAGUGCUGAGUAUUUGGGUGACAAACUGAACUUAGUCAGGUCUUCUAUGCAACAUGUGACUUGAAUUCAAUGAGAAGAAACAAAUAGCUGUAGAACAAGUGAAGGCAAUGACAGAGCCUUUAUUUGAGAAAUAGGCACUAGAGGAAAAGAUAUCAGAAAGGAAUUGACUCACCCCUCCCGGUAACAGUGUGGAGAGAGGGACGAGCUGAGAAAUGCGACCCUCCCCGGGUCCUGUCGCGCCGCUGGAGAGAAGGGCAGGAGCAAAAGGGGGACCCGCACAGACUCAGACUGCACAGGAAGUAUUGCAGAGACAGAAGGGGUGGCUCCAGAACCCCCUCCCCCCCCCCCACUCCAGGCACCCACACACUCAUGUAGCCCACCCAUUGAUUCAGGCUGUGACUCUGGAAUUCCACUACAGUCGCCAACCAAACAAAGCCCAACCUAGCGCAGUAUUACCAGACUUGUAACCUAUGUAACUGUAGGUAACUACAGAUAAGUUCAAAUGUAAGAUAGAUAUGGCUUUUACAUGCUGAUUCUAGCUUUAUCUGAGAGAAAAAGAAAAUGAUACUGAUAUUGGAAAGCUGUACAAUAUUCACAAAACCUGUCAGCUAUACUACAUUGUGUUUCUUAAACAGAGAAACCACAAGAAGGUCAAUAGCAUGGUUUAUAUCUUUUGACCUUGCUUCGCUAUAUUACUUGACUUGAACCAUGUAAAAUGUUUGCAUUUUUGGCCAAGAAUUUCCAGUAUCGGAGUCCCCUCUGGACCCUGGAUAGGUUAUAAACAAGUUUAUAGUGAGCCAAGUUGCUUCAGGUUUCACUGUUAACAUUCAAAGAAACUAGGGAUGUAAAAUUUGUUUUAGUAAUAGGAUCUAGCCUAGUAGUCUAUGUAGUCUUACUCUGACAGACAUCAGUUUGAAGAGCUGUUUGUGUCAGGCUGAGGCCUUGCUGUGACGAUAAUAGCAUAAAAUGAUCCAACAGAUCCAGGGUAAAAGUUUUGACUCCCUCUGAAAUAUACCUAAAUAAAUACUCCUUGCAUGUUUCUUAUCUAUAUGAUAAUGUAGACUUGUGUAAAAAGUUUGGACUCUGACCUUUCCAAAGGAUGAGCCUUGAAGCAAACUCUCCUGCUUUACUCCCAUUAGUCUACAUGUACUGCCUGACAAUACUGCAUUUUGCCAGAAAUAUCUUUGUGGUUAUACACUUAACCCAUGUUAAAGAAGAGGGAAUAAUGUCUGCCAGCAAGCAGACAAAAUAUAAGCCUAUCACUGUCUAUACUGCAAUUUAAGCUCUCCUAGAAACACUCUAGCGAUCUGAACUGCAAAGUAACUGUGAAGUUCCAGUGUGAAGUAGUUCAUAAUGAUGCCAUUUGCAGCAGCAUUUUCUGGUUCUCCAUGGCUUCAGCAUCACCCCAAAUGAGAAGAAAGUCUCUCCACUCCAUUCUGACUUUCUUGACUGUACUGAGAUUGUCCAUUUCCUUCUCUAGGGAUGUGGAAAUAAUACUGCCCUUGUACUGAUGUUUCUGUCCUACUGAAAACUGUAAAGCAAGUAGCCUCUAAGGCAAGGGGAAUACAGAAUUAAGUUUCUGAUCUGCUUUAUGGUACAAUAUGAACAUGAAUUUGCCAUAGGAAAAUAUUCAGCUACCAUUUCCCCCUUGAAUAAGAGCAGAUUUGGGGAAUAUAUGUUAACAGUUCUCAGGAAGCACAUUUUGUUUAUGUGAUGUUUAAAAAGAGAACUGUGCCUUUAAGUGUAACUAAGCGAGUAAUGAAAGUAAAUGCAAUUGUUAAUUUUCCAUUUUCAGAAGAAAAACUUUAUAUAUGUAGUCAAAUACACAAAAGGAAGCAUGGAUAGCUUAAAUGUAGCAAGAAGCAGUGAAAAAUUUUCAGCUUUAUGGUGUUUUCCAGGGGGCAAGGCAGAUAAUGGUUUCCUCUGAUAGAAGUUUCUUGGUCAAAGAAAAGCAUUUAAUAGCAGCAAUACCUGAAGCCCAUACUGUGCAACUUUAAGUAUCACCUGAGAUGGUGAACAGCUGGACAUAUUCACAGGGGCUUUUUUAUAUCCCUGGGACAUAAUGUCUUCUCUGAACAUUUGCAAGAAAUAGAAAUGCUUUUCAUAUACAUGAGUUAAUACGCAUUUUAACUGGAAAAAGCAAGGUACUUAUCAGGAUAACACUGACAGGUGGCAGAGCAACUUGGACAGUACGAGAUAGAUAUUCUCAGCCAGCGGGUACCAAAAGAAAAUGGAAUAAUGCUGACUCGUGUAUGCUGAUCUGACUCCAAUUACAGCCACCUGAUUGUAUGAAAUAGGACAGUGGGACAACUAUUGCCACAAGUGCUUGUUUGCCCCAUUGGAAUUCCUUGAUUUUUCUUACAGUAUCCUUUCAAUCUCAAUAUAGCCAUGCUUUGUGCAGCAGCAUUCAUAAUUGCUUUCAGAUGGAGGAGCUGAGAAUAACACUUCUUUUUCUUGCCUGUGUGCAAAAGAACAAUAAUUGGAUUGUGAAUCAUGUAGCUGCAACUAGCCUGUUCAAAUGAAGACAGUAUUUUUUUCAGUCAUCCUGAGUCAUCUUUUCUUUUUAUACCAUUUUCCCCUUGUCACAUUUUUUUUCACCUUAUCCAUGGCCUAAAUAACCCCAAAAUAGCUCAAAGAUGAUGUAUCAUUCUUACUUUGUUAGCAGAUAAGUUUCAUGUGAAUUCUCUUUCUUACACUCUUUCACUCCCAAACAAAACAGGCACCCUGGUUAAACUUCAAUCUGAUUUUUUUGUAAUCUCAUUUUUUUGGAGAGCUAGAAAGUAUUUCAUGGAUGUGAAUACAUGGAUCCUUCUCAAUUUUCUUUCUUUCAAUCAUGCUACUUCACAAUAGAAAUGUCUUACUAAGACUGCUUACCAGCUUCACUAGCACACUUUAACCACUUUGGACUAUUUUUCUAAGUCAAAAUAGUCAGAAAUCUAAAUCCACUUUGCCAAUUAUUUUAGAUUUAUGGUUCUUUUGUGUUGGCAUGAACUACAGCGACUCAUAGCCACCUCUGCAUACAGGUAAUGUUGAUCCUUUAUAUUUUUUUUGUAGCUCUAAAUUUAUUAGUAAUAUUUCAGUACUGUGCCAGUAUCAGUUGCAACAAAAUAGCUGAAGUCAAAUUUAAAGUUUCCUUUAACUUCCUACUAAAACGUGCAUGUGCACACAUGAACUAUAAAUACACAGACAAGUCUUGAAAGAUGUACAUGAUUGCUAGCUUUAAUCGCCUCUCAGAAAGCUAAAAUUGUUUUUAAAAACCCUCUGUAUUAUCUGAUAAUGCAUGGGUCUUGCUGCGGUUUGUAUUAAGUGUGAGUUUCUCUCUCACAAAAUAAUGUACCAGAUCUCAAGGUUGGCUGUAGGACACACCAUUUUAGCUAAUAUCACACAGGAGAUCAGUUAUUUCCCAUUGUGAUUCCCAAUUGGCAUCUUGCAGUGAGCUUGUUUACUGCUCUGCAGCAAAAUGAAUUGUCUGCUGUUAAGUAUUUAAAAAAAAAAAAAAAAAAAAAACCUGCAUAAAAAUACUGUUAAGUCUCUGACUUAAGCUGACAAAUUCUAGGGAAGACUAAAUUAAAGAUAAAGUAUCAGUACAGCACUUGUUAUGUACAGCAGUAUUGCCCUGGAAUGGAAAAGGGAGUCAGGGCAGGUAAUAGCUUUUGUCUAGCUAUUACCAUGACAGGCUUUUACUUGGAUUCGGAAUAGCAAGAGCUCUCUAAAAGUCCUUCUUUCCUUAUUUAUUGUUUUCCUUUUCAGACAUGAACAAAACAGUGCAAAUGGGUCAGUACUUUUAAGCUAGCUUAUGGCACAAUAAUGAUUUGAAAUGGUUGAGCUGGAAGAAGAAUAGUAUUUGUAAUGGAGAUGUUGACUGAGCAAACCAACAGUGCAAUUAUAAUAUUGACUCUGUGAUAGAAUCAGCACUUCAGGAGAACAGCAAGCCUCCUUGACUUGAGGGUCUCUGGAUUAACUGGUUUUAAAAGGCAUUGGUCGAAAUAUGAAUGCUACACAAGUAACAUUAAGAAAAAGUAGUGUAAUAAUACUUCUGCUUUCUCUGUGCCAACAAAAUCCUGAAAGACACCCAGUGAGAGAAAUAUAAUUUAGACAUUACUCUGAAAAAAAAAAAAAAAAAAAACAAGGCAAGUAAAACCAAACAGAGAAUAUGUUCUGCACUGUGAAGAAUCAGAAAAGGAACAUAUUCUUGCUUCUGAGAAAAGGUAGAAGCAUAAGAAUAAAUGUAUAGAUGGCAGAUGAAAAGUGCUCUUCAAGAAGUGUGGACUUGGAAGAGAUGCCAAAGGAAUGCUGAUAAAGCUGUGAAACUAAAUAGGAAAAAAGUGAUUAGGAGAGUGCACUGGCUCUUUCUGGGAUGGAGGUCUGUCAACAAAACACUGCUGAUAACACAAAGAAGUCAAAGUCUUCUCUGUUUCUCACUCUGCCCUACUAGCUAGUAAGCUGGGAUAGUGCAAGAAGUUGGGCGAGGAUGUGACUAAGCAGAUGUCCCAAAGUAACCACAGAGAUAUAGCAUAACGUCAUGCAAUGAAAAGGGAGAGGAGGGGGUUUGUGGAGGAUAUUCUUUUCCUUGGAAACUAGCUGGGCAUCCAUCCACCUGCUGGGGUUGGUGAGAUACUGCUUUUGCAUAGCUUUUUUUUUUUUUUUUUUUUUUAAGAUUUUUCUUCUCUCUUCUUGCAUUUCUCCUUCACAUAUUAGACAUUAUUUUUUCAAUCUUGAACAACAAGUUUUCUUACUUAUACUCUUCUUUUUUUUUUUUUUUUUUUCUUUUCCCAUUGCUCUGAGUGCAGAGAGUGAGUGAGUGGCUGUGUAGUGCUUAGCCGCUUACUGGAGUUAUUCCACAACAAGGAGAGAACAAAGAGUAGUCUUUGUUGGAUAAACAACAUAUCUAGGACAAUAAUAAUAAUAACAGAUAGUUACAUCUGGCAAUAUUAUGCAUUUUGAUAAUCUCUUGCAGAGGCAACAAAAAUCACAGAAUAAAUCUAAUUGCAUUCAUAUUUUUCAUAACUUUCAGAUCCAUGGAAAGACUAAUAUAACAAAACUGUCCCUAUCCCACCACGCAUCUCCCCUCCCAGUGCUGCUUCCAGGACUACAGAAUCUUGUGUGGGUCAGAAGACAAAAUCCUGAGCAGCCUACAUAAGGGAAAGAAUAGUUGUCGUCUCAUUCAUUUGAUAAAAAUGGAUCAUCUUAUUCAAAGCUAAAGCAUAUUGGUGGAAAAGAAAAACGAUUUGCAGAAGUGGUAUUUCUACCAGUUACUAUUCUAGGCUCAGAUGCAAAUCACCAGGCACAGAACACUUAAAUCAGGAAAGUCACUUACAUUGUGUAUGGACAGUAGAAAAAAUAGCACCUUCAGACCACUAGUGUUCUAAUUUACUCGUGGAAAUGUCUUUCUCUGUUGGCAGCUACAUUCCGAAAAUAGACAUAAUCAGCAAUAUAAGGUGAAGGGAUUGGAAUAUGUGUUCUAAAUUUAGCUAAUUGUCCUUGCUCUGUGUCACCGUGUUUAUUUAGUGCUUCAAUAAUUGUAAGAGUUUCUCUAUGCGGGGACUCUUCCCAAUAAAAAUCUAUCCUUGUGAAGCUGCACAACUUCUUCACAGGCUCUGUAUGGAACAGUUGCUAUUUUUCAGUAAGAAUGUGGGUUGCAGCUGUAGAGAACAAAGUUUGGCUUCUAUUUUCAAAGCCUUAGGCUCUUGUCUGCAAAGACAACCUCUUGCUGCUUGAGUUGUGCAGUGUUUAAAUAAAAGUAAUCUCAGUGUUAAAUUCAAGCUCUCCAUGCCAUAGCAAUGAAAAUAACACACUGUGCCUGGGAAUUGCUUGUAGGGCUGGAGCCAUGCUGCUGCAAGCAGGUGUGUGCAUACAAAUAGUAAGCAAGGGGAUAGGAGCCCUCAGAGAACACUGGACUUUUUGUGUUUCCUGGAGAUUAAGUGGCUCAGCAGUUCAGUCAUUGUUGCAGCAAUGGGUGACUAGAUGAAUUCAUCUGCUUCCAUGAAUAGAUCCUGGGAGACCACUAAGAGAAUUUUUCUUCAUAUUUUCUGGCUAAUUCUGCGUAAGAUGCUUUCACACAAAAAAACACUACUGUCACUGAACUAAUUUCACCCAGUGUUGCAUUUCCUUAUCAAUAGAUAUUACACGUUGCUCUUAUUCAAAUGAAUAAACCAACAAAAAUUUAAAGUACUCAAAGAGCACAGGAAAAGGGGGAAAACGGGGGAAAAAAGAAUAUAUAUCUCUGUCAAUACCCUGUGGUUACACAUAUGCCUUAGUGCCUCUCAUACAUUCCCUGCCCUUGGGCCUGGGCACCCCAUUUCAGCUCUGCCUGCAGUUGCUGCUGAGCUGUGUUUCAGACAUAUCUUUGCCUUGUCCUCAUUUUGCACAUUGUUUGAAUUUUAUGUGUUGGUGCAACCUUGCACCUGACUCACCAUCUCACAUUUGUCUCACCUUCACUGGACUGUUUAUAGGAUCUGCAGCUGUCACCUCCCUGAUCUGCUCACCAUCUUCAGGUCAUAUGAGAUGGUGAGGACAUGGCCUGAAGACACUCAGAAAAAAAAUAUCUUAAUUUGGGAUAUUUUGGUCUUAUUAUUUUGAUGGGAGAAAUUAUGUGGUAAUAUGUUGUAUUAUGCUGUUGAUAUUAUCUUUGACUUGUACUACCGUAAUUUCACAGUUUCUACUCAUUUUCAAUGUUCACUGUUUCAUUCUUGUGUGGAAAUAUUCCACUCUGUAUUUCUUUCAAGAUGAUUCUAGCUGGUUUAUAGUCUCAUUUAACAUGCAAGAGAACACUCUUCUAAUCACUGAUUCUACAUCCCAAAAUAAAACCAAGAAUCCUUA